AUUGAACGCUGGCGGCAUGCCUUACACAUGCAAGUCGAACGGCAGCACGGGAGCAAUCCUGGUGGCGAGUGGCGAACGGGUGAGUAAUAUAUCGGAACGUGCCCAGUCGUGGGGAUAACGUAGCGAAAGCUACGCUAAUACCGCAUACGAUCUAUGGAUGAAAGCGGGGGAUCGCAAGACCUCGCGCGAUUGGAGCGGCCGAUAUCAGAUUAGGUAGUUGGUGAGGUAAAGGCUCACCAAGCCGACGAUCUGUAGCUGGUCUGAGAGGACGACCAGCCACACUGGGACUGAGACACGGCCCAGACUCCUACGGGAGGCAGCAGUGGGGGAAUUUUUGGACAAUGGGCGGCAAGCCUGAUCCAGCAAUGCCGCGUGCAGGAUGAAGGCCUCGGUU
This 394-nucleotide ribosomal RNA is filed under the name uncultured bacterium. RNAcentral describes it as "bacterial SSU rRNA". It matches the Rfam family "Bacterial small subunit ribosomal RNA", at positions 30 to 424 of the family's 1533-position model. The record is from RNAcentral.